Molecule: ribosomal RNA, 255 nt
Filed under: uncultured bacterium
Lineage: Bacteria
Description: partial 16S ribosomal RNA
Rfam family: Bacterial small subunit ribosomal RNA
Source: RNAcentral
CACGUAGGGUGCGAGCGUUGUCCGGAAUUAUUGGGCGUAAAGAGCUCGUAGGCGGUGUGUCGCGUCGGCCGUGAAAACCUGCAGCUUAACUGUGGGCUUGCGGUCGAUACGGGCAUCACUGGAGUUCGGCAGGGGAGACUGGAAUUCCUGGUGUAGCGGUGAAAUGCGCAGAUAUCAGGAGGAACACCGGUGGCGGAGGCGGGUCUCUGGGCCGAUACUGACGCUGAGGAGCGAAAGCGUGGGGAGCGAACAGGA